AGUUUGAUCCUGGCUCAGGAUGAACGCUAGCUACAGGCUUAACACAUGCAAGUCGAGGGGCAGCAUGAACUUAGCUUGCUAAGUUUGAUGGCGACCGGCGCACGGGUGAGUAACACGUAUCCAACCUGCCGAUAACUCCGGAAUAGCCUUUCGAAAGAAAGAUUAAUACCGGAUGGCAUACGAAUAUCGCAUGAUAUUUUUAUUAAAGAAUUUCGGUUAUCGAUGGGGAUGCGUUCCAUUAGUUUGUUGGCGGGGUAACGGCCCACCAAGACUACGAUGGAUAGGGGUUCUGAGAGGAAGGUCCCCCACAUUGGAACUGAGACACGGUCCAAACUCCUACGGGAGGCAGCAGUGAGGAAUAUUGGUCAAUGGGCGAGAGCCUGAACCAGCCAAGUAGCGUGAAGGAUGAAGGCUCUAUGGGUCGUAAACUUCUUUUAUAUGGGAAUAAAGUAUUCCACGUGUGGAAUUUUGUAUGUACCAUAUGAAUAAGGAUCGGCUAACUCCGUGCCAGCAGCCGCGAUAAUACGGAGGAUCCGAGCGUUAUCCGGAUUUAUUGGGUUUAAAGGGAGCGUAGGUGGAUUGUUAAGUCAGUUGUGAAAGUUUGCGGCUCAACCGUAAAAUUGCAGUUGAAACUGGCAGUCUUGAGUACAGUAGAGGUGGGCGGAAUUCGUGGUGUAGCGGUGAAAUGCUUAGAUAUCACGAAGAACUCCGAUUGCGAAGGCAGCUCACUAGACUGUCACUGACACUGAUGCUCGAAAGUGUGGGUAUCAAACAGGAUUAGAUACCCUGGUAGUCCACACAGUAAACGAUGAAUACUCGCUGUUUGCGAUAUACAGUAAGCGGCCAAGCGAAAGCAUUAAGUAUUCCACCUGGGGAGUACGCCGGCAACGGUGAAACUCAAAGGAAUUGACGGGGGCCCGCACAAGCGGAGGAACAUGUGGUUUAAUUCGAUGAUACGCGAGGAACCUUACCCGGGCUUAAAUUGCAACAGAAUAUAUUGGAAACAGUAUAGCCGUAAGGCUGUUGUGAAGGUGCUGCAUGGUUGUCGUCAGCUCGUGCCGCGAGGUGUCGGCUUAAGUGCCAUAACGAGCGCAACCCUUAUCUUUAGUUACUAACAGGUCAUGCUGAGGACUCUAGAGAGACUGCCGUCGUAAGAUGUGAGGAAGGUGG
This 1170-nucleotide ribosomal RNA is filed under the name uncultured Bacteroides sp. Its description in RNAcentral is "bacterial SSU rRNA". It matches the Rfam family "Bacterial small subunit ribosomal RNA", at positions 10 to 1176 of the family's 1533-position model. Lineage: Bacteria; Pseudomonadati; Bacteroidota; Bacteroidia; Bacteroidales; Bacteroidaceae. The record is from RNAcentral.